RNAcentral lists this ribosomal RNA (253 nucleotides) under uncultured prokaryote. Its description in RNAcentral is "partial 16S ribosomal RNA". It matches the Rfam family "Bacterial small subunit ribosomal RNA", at positions 525 to 777 of the family's 1533-position model. The record is from RNAcentral.
UCGUAGGGUGCAAGCGUUAAUCGGAAUUACUGGGCGUAAAGCGUGCGCAGGCGGUUUCGUAAGUCUGUCGUGAAAUCCCCGGGCUUAACCUGGGAAUGGCGAUGGAGACUGCGAGGCUAGAGUUUGGCAGAGGGGGGUAGAAUUCCACGUGUAGCAGUGAAAUGCGUAGAGAUGUGGAGGAACACCAGUGGCGAAGGCGGCUCACUGGACCGGUUCUGACGCUGAUGCGCGAAAGCGUGGGGAGCAAACGGGA